CAGUCGUCUUGUCCAAUGCCUGAAAGCCAAGGGAUCCUCGCACCUUCAAGGCAUAGAACUUGCGCAGGAGGACUGUCGCAGCCGAGCAGCUUUGCACGAGUGAGGAGUUGCAUGCUGCUGAAAAAACACCAUGCCACCGGGAUAGGUCAAGCACCAACACAUCGUGUCAUGCCAAAGUACAUCUAUUGAGGCAUUUAUAAGCAUGCGGCAGAGAGAAGGAAGGUCGAUGACCAGACUGUCGACAAACUUUUAGGGAAAAUUCAAAAUAGCGACAUAUCCGAUGCAGAUCUCUGAUGAUGAAUGUACGGAGCAAGACUUGGUGCAUACAACUGUGGCUACGAGUUCCACAGAAGCAAGUGCUGGAAAUUAUCCUGCGACUUUGCGCACACAAGACAGAGCUUCCAGAAGCAACAUUGAAGAAGCAUGUAGUGGAGUGGGUGACAAAAGCCUUCUGUCCUGGCCAGUGGCACGGAGUGCAGCUACCGACCAACAGCCGGAUCUCUCCCCAAAGACCCUCUGGCAUACUUGAGCCGGUAUUUCCUGCAGUGGGUUUUUCAAAAUGUUGCGACAUUUAAAAACGUGUACACGCUUCAGAAAGAUGGCAUUGAGCUCAGAACAAGCGAGCAAAGGAUGAAGUUUUUAUUUGGAAUCCUCAUGCUGAUGGGGGUUUUUAAAUAUUUGAGGAUUCGUAUGUAUUGGCAAGCAUCAACUAGGAUCCCUGUUAUAGCCGACUCCAAGACAGCUAAGAGGUUUUUAAAAAUUAGGGUUGCGCUGCACAUAACAGAGUUGAACGCUCCACAUGAUUCGACGAACCAGGACAAGUUC
Dermacentor silvarum is the source of this 825-nucleotide long non-coding RNA. RefSeq lists it as uncharacterized. The record is from RefSeq and is a predicted model, not a curated record. Lineage: Eukaryota; Metazoa; Arthropoda; Arachnida; Ixodida; Ixodidae. The transcript is spliced from 4 exons.